CCUACGGGCGGCAGCAGUGGGGCAUAUUGCACAAUGGGGGGAACCCUGAUGCAGCGACGCUGCGUGAGUGAAGAAGUAAUUCGGUAUGUAAAGCUCUAUCAGCAGGGAAGAAAAUGACGGUACCUGAGUAAGAAGCCCCGGCUAACUACGUGCCAGCAGCCGCGGUAAUACGUAGGGGGCAAGCGUUAUCCGGAUUUACUGGGUGUAAAGGGAGCGUAGACGGCAGGGCAAGUCUGGAGUGAAAGGCGGGGGCUCAACCCCCGGACUGCUCUGGAAACUGUACGGCUGGAGUGCAGGAGAGGUAAGCGGAAUUCCUAGUGUAGCGGUGAAAUGCGUAGAUAUUAGGAGGAACACCAGUGGCGAAGGCGGCUUACUGGACUGUAACUGACGUUGAGGCUCGAAAGCGUGGGGAGCAAACAGGAUUAGAUACCCUGGUAGUC
RNAcentral lists this ribosomal RNA (440 nucleotides) under uncultured bacterium. RNAcentral's name for it is "partial 16S ribosomal RNA". It matches the Rfam family "Bacterial small subunit ribosomal RNA", at positions 338 to 795 of the family's 1533-position model. The record is from RNAcentral.